Long non-coding RNA from Neofelis nebulosa (Clouded leopard), 4544 nucleotides. RefSeq lists it as uncharacterized. The record is from RefSeq and is a predicted model, not a curated record. NCBI's taxonomy places the organism in Eukaryota, Metazoa, Chordata, Mammalia, Carnivora, Felidae. The transcript is spliced from 2 exons.
GAGAAAAAUAGACAGCUAGGUUUGGUGACUAAGGCAGUCGGUUGAUUGUACAGGGUUAGAAGGAAUAAGUUUUAAAAAAUCACAAAAUAUUAGUAUUUAAUAUAAAACAUGACUAGAAUCAAAGCAAAUCAGUGUGCCUUUGGAGUUUCACAAAAGUGAACAGAUGCCUUUUUCCCCCUAAGUUGUACCUUACUCAGCUUUUCAGGAUUAGAUGUUCAUUGAUGACCACUCAUCUAAUAAAAGUAAACUGAUAAAAGGAAGAGCAUUAAGAUAGUGAAAGGAAAUGAUGGGGGAAAAAGUUACAGUCUGUUAAAUACAUUAAUGUAGUCACAGGCAUACCUUGGAGGCAUUGUGAGUUCAGUUCCAGACCACUGCAAUAAAACAAAUAUUGCAAUAAAAAGAACCAAAUGAAUUUUUUUGUUUCCUAAUCCAUAUGAAAGUUAUGUUUACACUGUACUAUAGUCUAUUUAGUGUGCAAUAGCAUAGGUCUAAAAAACUACAUUGCUAAAUUAAAAAAUACUUUAUUGCUGGCUGGGAAGAUGGUAGAGUAGGAGAACCCUAAGCUCACCUUGUCCCAGAGUUACUACUAGAUAACACUCACAUCAGUGUAAAUGGCCCAGAAAAUGAUUUGGAGACUGGCAGAACAAAUUCCACAGCUAAAGGUGUGGAAGAAGAAGGCCCCAUCAGAGAAGGUAGGGAGGGCAGAGAUACAGUUUGGAAGCAAAAUGAACUGCAGCUAUCUAUGGUGGGGAGGGAACUGGUGGUAAGAAGAAGGGCAAAAAACAGAGAGCUUCACACCAGAGAGCCCACACAGGGGAGACAUUUUCCCAUAGCAUUUGCUUUGAAAGCGAGAGGAGCUGCAUUUUGUGAGUUCUUACAACUGGUGGGACUUAGAGCCUGGGAUUUUACCGGUGGGACUUAAAGCCUGGGAUUUUAAAAAUCAGCAGGCUCGGGCUCUUGGAGAGCCAGGAAGUGUGGCCUAGAGAGGCAGGGAUCACAGAGAGACCCCAACAGGAACAAAAGAGCUGGCACACUCCCCCCAGUAUAAACACAGUGCCACCUGCAGGAACCAGCAUAGCACCAACACUCACUACCUAAUUUGCUUACACCAAGCCUGAUCCCUGUACUUUGGCAGAUCGCCCUUCCCAGUCACACUUGGCUCAGUCUGGGCACUGCAGGCCCCCUCCCCCAGAAGACUGGCACAGACCCCACCACACCUUGUCUCCUGACGCAUGCAUUUUGUGGGACCUCAGUUCUACCGGCAGCAGUGACACAUCUCAUUUCGCAAGCAGACCACCACACACCUCGUUAAAAUGUGUCCCACCCCACCCGGGAUCAAACACUGCCCACAACAGGCAAAGAGAGCCUCUGCAGACAACUGGAUUGAAGGAAAAAGAGGCCAGGUUCUCAACAGCAGAGCACAUGCAACACACAUGGGAGAUACUCCCUGAAGCACUAGGCCCUGGGGAACAGGGGACAUUGAACACAGGACAUUAUAGGACCUCUUCUUCAUAAGGCCAUUAACGUGAAGAGCAAGAGAUGUAGCUUACCUUCUUACCUCAGAGAAACAAAGUUAACAAAAUGAGGAGACAGAGAAAUAUGUCCAAAAUGAAAGAACAAGACCACACCGCAACAGAAGACUAAGUGAAAUGGAUAUAAUGUGCCUGCUAAAGAAUUUAAAGUAAUGAUCACUAAGAUAACUCACUGGACUUGAGAAAAGAGUGGAGUACAUCAGCGAAUGAGACACUUAACAAAGAAAACAGAACCAGAUAUCAAGAACACUAUAAAUGAGGGACACCUGGGUGGCUCAGUUGGUUAAGUGUCCAGCUUCGACUCAGGUCAUGAUCUUGGGGUUCGUGGGUUCAAGCCCUGCAUCGGGCUCUGUGCUGACAGCUCAGAGCCUGGAGCCUGUUUUGGAUUCUGUGUCUCCCUCUCUCUGUGUCCCUCCCCUGCUCCUGCUCAGUCUCUCUCAAAAAAAAAAAAAAAAAAAAAAAACACUAAAGAAAAAAAAAGGAACACAAUAAAUGAAAUUACAAUACACUUGAUGGAAUAAAUAGCAAACUAGUUGAGGCAGAGGAACAAAUUAAUGACCUGGAAGAGUAAUGGAAAGUAACCAAGCUGAGCAAAGGAGAGGAAAGGAAAUUAGGUAAAUUGAGAAUAGUUGUAGGGAACUCUGACUCCAUCAAGUUUAGUAACAUCUGCAUUAUAGGGAUCUCAGAAGAAGAAGAGAAAAGGGGAUAGAAAAUUUAUUUGAAGAAAUAAUAAUAGCUGAAAACUUCCUUCAUCUGGGAAAGGACACAAAAAUCCAAGUCUAGGAGGCGCAGAGAUCUUCCCAAAAAAAUUAAUGCAAGGAGGUCCAUACCACAAAACAUAGUAAUUAAAAUGGCAAAAAGUAGUAAUAAAAAAUUCUUAAAGCAGCAAGAGAAAAGAAGAUAGUUACAUACAAGUGAAGCCCCAUAAGCCUGUAAGCAGAUUUUGCAGCAGAAACUGCAGGCCAGAAGGGAGUGGCAUAAUAUAUUCAAAGUGCUGAAAGGGAAAAAUCUGCAGCCAAGAAUACUCUAUCCAGAAAGGCUAGCAUUCAGAAGAGAAGGAGAGAUAAAGAGUUUCUCAGACAAACAAAAUUAAAGGAGUUCAUAAGUGCUAAACCAGCCCAACAAGAAAUAUUAAAGGGAAAUCAUUGAAUGGAAAGGAAAGACCAUGAGAGGAUGAAAAGUAGAAAACACAAGAGCAGUAAAAAUGAGUAUUUCUGUAAAAAUUAAAGGAUUCAUAAAAUAAAAGGAUGUAAAAUGUGACACCAUAUACCUAAAACAUGGGGUGGGAGAGGAGUACAAAGUGGAUCACCAACUUAAUAUAGAUUACUAUAUAUAUAAGAUGUUAUAAUAAACCUAAGAGUAACCACAAAUAAAAAGCCAGUAAUAGGUAUGCAAAGAACAAAGAGAAAGGAAUUCCAGUAUAUCACUAAAGAAAACCAAUAAAUCAUGAAAGAGCAAGAGAAAAAAGGAUCAGAGAAAAUCUGUAGAAACAACCACAAAACAAGUAAUAAAAUGGCAAUAAAUACAUAUCUAUCAACAAUUACUUUGAACAUAAAUUGAAUGCUCCAGUCAAAAGACAUAAGGUGAUAGAGUGCAUUAAAAAAAAAAAAAAGACCCAUGAAUAAUGCUGCAUACAGGAGGUUCAUUUCAGACCAAAGACACCUGCAGAUUAAAAGUGAGGGGAUGGUGAAAUACUUAUCUUGUAAAUGGAUGUCAAAAGAAAGCCAAGGUAGCAAUACUUACAUUGGGCAAGAUAGACAUUAUAAUAGGCAAGGCUGUAACAGACAGACAGGGACACUAUAUAAUCAUAGAGGGGACAAUCCAGCAAGAAGAUAUAGCAAUCGUAAAUAUUUAAUGUACCCAACAUGGGAGCUCCCAAAUACAUUAAACAGUUAAUAGCAAGCAUAAAGGAAAUCAUUAGUAGUAAUGCAAUAACAGAAAGGGACUUUAUUAUCCCAUUUACAUCAAUGGACAGAUCAUCCAAACAAAAUGAACAAGGAAACAGUAGCUUUAUUUUUAAAUUAUGUUUGUUUAAGUAAUCUCUACACCCAGCAUGGGGCUUGAACUCACAACCCCUAGAUCAAGAGUCACAUACUCUUCUCACUGAGCCAGUCAGUCACACUGAAAACAGUAGCUUUAAAUGACCACUGACCAGAGGGAUUUACCGGGUAUAUUCAGAAUAUUCCAUCAUAAAACAUCAGAAUAUGCACUCUUUUCAAGUGACAUGGAACAUUCUCCACAAAAGAUCACAUAUUAGGCUACAAAACAAGUCAACAAAUUCAAGAAGAUCAGUAAUAUACAUCUUUUCUGACCACAACACUAUGAAACUAGAAAUCAACUACAAGAAACUAUCUGGAAAGAGCACUACAUGGAGGUUAAAUAACAUGGUACAACACAAUGAAUGGGUCAACCAAGAAAUCAAAGAAGAAAUCAUAAAUUUCAUGGAAACAAAUGAAAAUGAAAACACCACAGUCUAAAAUCUUCGGGAUGCAGCAAAAGUGGUUCUAAGAGGGAAGUGUAUAGUAAUACAGGGCUACUUCAAGAAGCAAGAAAAAUCUCAAACAACCUAACCUUACACCUAAAGGAGCUAGAAAAAGAAGAACAAACAUACCUAAAACCAACAGAAGGAAGGAACUAUUAAGAUUGGAACAGAAAUAGAUGACAUAGAAACAAAAACAAAAAAAUAGAACAGAUCAAUGAAAUCAGGAGCUGGUCCUUUAAAAAGAUCAACAGAAUUGACCUCUAGCCAGACUCUUCAAAAACAAACAAACAAACUUGAAUAAACAAAAUCACAAAUGAAACAGGAGGCAUAACAACCAACACCACAGAAAUACAAACAAUUAUAAAAGAAUGUUAUGAAAAAUUAUAUGCCAACAAAUUGGACAACCUAGAAGAAAUGGAUAAAUUCCUAGAAGUAUAUAAUCUACCAAAACUAAAGCAGGAAGAAAUAGAAAAUUUGAACAGACUGAUUACCAGCAAGGAAAUUGAAUGACUCAUCAAAAACUGCCAACA